Molecule: long non-coding RNA, 1935 nt
Filed under: Homo sapiens (human)
Lineage: Eukaryota; Metazoa; Chordata; Mammalia; Primates; Hominidae
Description: HSALNT0117067
Source: RNAcentral
GUACAGCUGCCUGUGGACCUGAACCCGCUGAGAUGCCGGUGCCUGCCCCUCUGAGGAUGAGGCCCCCUCUCCCAAAAGUAACGUUCCUCGGGGUCAUGCAGUGAGCAUGGGCAAAGAGAACGGACGACAGUUGCAUCAGACACAGGAAAGGGCGAUUCACACAAAGGCUCCAAAGGCUUGUCUGUUUGCGAACUCAGGCUGGUGCGUGGUAGGGUCUGAGUUCAGGGACUGGUUUCUAGGAACCUACGACCUGCGUGUUGAUGGCGGCAGGCCUCAGAGGGGAGGCUCCAUCUGGGAGGAGGAGAGACGAUACCUUCUGGGGGUCUUGGCACAGGCAGGCUAUGGGAAGAGGAACAUGAAAAUAUCAUUUCUCACUGAGCUUGCCGAAUAAAGGUUGUCAUGGAAGAAUCGCUUUGAUGGAAAGGUGAUAACAGCAGGGCUAAGGUCCUUCAUUGUUGCAGCUAAAGAUCAACUUGUCUCUAUUCUGUUCUUUCAGAAGCUUCAGUGGCACCUUGUACAUCGAGCUAAACUUUAAAAGCAGUUCAAGUAUGUGUUUAUCCUUAGUUCAAUCUUGGAUGAACUAGAGUUGGACAGAAAGGAUUUUCUGUGCACAGAUAUGAAAAGAAUACAACCAACUGAAAUUACCUUUGGAAAUAAAUCUCUCACCAAUGUCAUUAAUGAAAGAAUGAGAGCUCCUAUUUCUGGGAAAAACAUAAUUUCAAGUAUGUUGCGUGGGUUUGAAAUGUCAUUGUCACCCUCCCUUCUGUAUUUUACUCAAGAUAGUCAGUGUAUUCAAUGGGUAUUACAGCACAUGGAAAUGAGAAGUAUUAUCAGUAUUUUUACAAAGAUUUUAACGUCUUUAAACAGACUUUUCAAAGCAGUAGUGGAAGAGAGAGAAAGUAAGAGAGUGCAAAAGACUGAGAGUGAAUUUGUGGAUACAGUGAGGAGGGAGACAGCAGCAUUUAAGGAUGUGCUGAGUUGAAUCGAACCUAUGGGAAGAUGUUUGUAGACAAUUGUGCUAAUGAAAAGAGAAGAAAAAAUAAAACACACUGAUGAAAAGACUGGACCAUUACUACUGACAUCUUGCUAGACUAAGGCUUGAUUUGGCUUACAUUUUAGUCAUGAGAAUGGUCAUUUUCCUCUCUGGAAACCAUUUUCAAAAAUUUAUGAGUAAGUAAAAUUUUCUGCUUUAUAGCCCAAGUCUCUUGCCCCAUCUCCAAAGCUAGGGAAGGAUGGAAGUGUGCUGGCAAACAUGUUCAGACUCUGCUCGGAGGACACGACACUAUUCUUAGUACUGCCGACUUAAGAGGAAUGUCCAUUGAAGUGAACCGUGUCGAACAGUUUUGAAACCAAUGUUUCUUGGAGCCUGAGACCUCAAGUUCUGAGUAUUCAAAAUUUGUGACCUGGGGAUUGCAUUCGUCCAAAAGGAACCACCUUAUGUGACUCCCUGCAAGGCUCCUGAAAUAAAAAAAGAGGCCUGUCCCACCAGACGCCAUCAGCCCAGAGUGAAGGGGUCACUCUCAGGCCAGGUGGCCCUGAUUGUCACUAGUUCCUUUGAAUUGAUCAAUUACCCACAUUAACGUGGAUCUAGGGAUAAAAUUGUGACUGAGUACUUCUCUUGCUCUUUAGCAAUACAAUUGUUUAUCAGUUUAACAAAAGUCACUUCCCCAAGUCUAUUUACAACUUUGAACCUCGGAAUCUCCAUCUCAGAGCCACCCUCAAAUAAAAUGGCUUCCCACCAAGUUUCCUCUCCUGCAGCCACUGGUAACACAAAUUUAUGCUACCACCCGAGGGGUCCAGAGAGCCAGCGCUCAUGGUGCUAUUACCAAACACCUGGGUUUUGAUUUUCCUUUGCUCCUCCUCAGCCAUGUCAGAAAAUUUAAUAAUACAAUAAACAUUGACAGUUGACAUAAAUUAUAGCUAUGUAUUAUCCCU